CUGGCGGCAGGCCUACACAUGCAAGUCGAGCGGUAGAGAGGUGCUUGCACCUCUUGAGAGCGGCGGACGGGUGAGUAAUGCCUAGGAAUCUGCCUGGUAGUGGGGGAUAACGCUCGGAAACGGACGCUAAUACCGCAUACGUCCUACGGGAGAAAGCAGGGGACCUUCGGGCCUUGCGCUAUCAGAUGAGCCUAGGUCGGAUUAGCUAGUUGGUGAGGUAAUGGCUCACCAAGGCGACGAUCCGUAACUGGUCUGAGAGGAUGAUCAGUCACACUGGAACUGAGACACGGUCCAGACUCCUACGGGAGGCAGCAGUGGGGAAUAUUGGACAAUGGGCGAAAGCCUGAUCCAGCCAUGCCGCGUGUGUGAAGAAGGUCUUCGGAUUGUAAAGCACUUUAAGUUGGGAGGAAGGGCAUUAACCUAAUACGUUAGUGUUUUGACGUUACCGACAGAAUAAGCACCGGCUAACUCUGUGCCAGCAGCCGCGGUAAUACAGAGGGUGCAAGCGUUAAUCGGAAUUACUGGGCGUAAAGCGCGCGUAGGUGGUUCGUUAAGUUGGAUGUGAAAUCCCCGGGCUCAACCUGGGAACUGCAUUCAAAACUGUCGAGCUAGAGUAUGGUAGAGGGUGGUGGAAUUUCCUGUGUAGCGGUGAAAUGCGUAGAUAUAGGAAGGAACACCAGUGGCGAAGGCGACCACCUGGACUGAUACUGACACUGAGGUGCGAAAGCGUGGGGAGCAAACAGGAUUAGAUACCCUGGUAGUCCACGCCGUAAACGAUGUCAACUAGCCGUUGGGAGCCUUGAGCUCUUAGUGGCGCAGCUAACGCAUUA
This 830-nucleotide ribosomal RNA is filed under the name Pseudomonas sp. EA_R_37. RNAcentral describes it as "bacterial SSU rRNA". It matches the Rfam family "Bacterial small subunit ribosomal RNA", at positions 36 to 862 of the family's 1533-position model. The record is from RNAcentral. Lineage: Bacteria; Pseudomonadati; Pseudomonadota; Gammaproteobacteria; Pseudomonadales; Pseudomonadaceae.